UACGUAGGUGGCAAGCGUUAUCCGGAUUUACUGGGUGUAAAGGGAGCGUAGACGGCUUUGCAAGCCAGAUGUGAAAGCCCGGGGCUCAACCUCGGGACUGCAUUUGGAACUGUAUGGCUGGAGUGUCGGAGAGGCAGGCGGAAUUCCUAGUGUAGCGGUGAAAUGCGUAGAUAUUAGGAGGAACACCAGUGGCGAAGGCGGCCUGCUGGACGAUGACUGACGUUGAGGCUCGAAAGCGUGGGGAGCAAACAGG
This 253-nucleotide ribosomal RNA is filed under the name uncultured bacterium. RNAcentral describes it as "partial 16S ribosomal RNA". It matches the Rfam family "Bacterial small subunit ribosomal RNA", at positions 524 to 776 of the family's 1533-position model. The record is from RNAcentral.